GACGAACGCUGGCGGCGUGCUUAACACAUGCAAGUCGAACGGUGAAGCGCCUUCCUUUUUGGUGGGUGUGGAUGAGUGGCGAACGGGUGAGUAACACGUGAGUAACCUGCCCCCUUCUUCUGGAUAACCGCAUGAAAGUGUGGCUAAUACGGGAUAUUCUGGGUCUGUCGCAUGAUGGGUCUGGGAUAGAUAUUGUUUCGGUGGGGGAUGUGCUCGCGUCCUAUAAGCUUGUUGGUGGGGUGAUGGCCUACCAAGGCGGGGACGGGUAGCCGGCCUGGGAGGGUGGACGGUAGAGCGGGGACUGCGACACGGGCCAGACUCCUACGGGAGGAAGCAGUGGGGAAUAUGGAACAAUGGGCGCAAGACUGAUGCAGCGACGCCGCGUGAGGGAUGGAGGCCGUCGGGUUGUGAACCUCUUUCGCCAGUGAAGCAGGCCUGCCUCGUUUGUGGGUGGGUUGACGGUAGCUGGAUAAGAAGCGCCGGCUAACUACGUG
Molecule: ribosomal RNA, 494 nt
Filed under: uncultured bacterium
Lineage: Bacteria
Description: partial 16S ribosomal RNA
Rfam family: Bacterial small subunit ribosomal RNA
Source: RNAcentral